RNAcentral lists this ribosomal RNA (305 nucleotides) under uncultured bacterium. RNAcentral's name for it is "bacterial SSU rRNA". It matches the Rfam family "Bacterial small subunit ribosomal RNA", at positions 337 to 635 of the family's 1533-position model. The record is from RNAcentral.
GCCUACGGGGGGCAGCAGUAGGGAAUUUUCGUCAAUGGGCGCAAGCCUGAACGAGCAAUGCCGCGUGAACGAGGAAGGUCUUCGGAUCGUAAAGUUCUGUUGCAGGGGAAAAAGAGCGGAGAGAGGAAAUGGUCUCCGAUUGAUAUUACCCUUCGAGGAAGUCACGGCUAACUACGUGCCAGCAGCCGCGGUAAUACGUAGGUGGCGAGCGUUAUCCGGAAUGAUUGGGCGUAAAGGGUGCGUAGGCGGCCUGCUAAGUCUGGAGUGUAAGGGACCGGCUCAACCGGUACAGGCUCUGGAAACUG